Molecule: ribosomal RNA, 1203 nt
Filed under: Arthrobacter sp. MSI30
Lineage: Bacteria; Bacillati; Actinomycetota; Actinomycetes; Micrococcales; Micrococcaceae
Description: bacterial SSU rRNA
Rfam family: Bacterial small subunit ribosomal RNA
Source: RNAcentral
GUGGUUUUGGAUGGACUCGCGGCCUAUCAGCUUGUUGGUGAGGUAAUGGCUCACCAAGGCGACGACGGGUAGCCGGCCUGAGAGGGUGACCGGCCACACUGGGACUGAGACACGGCCCAGACUCCUACGGGAGGCAGCAGUGGGGAAUAUUGCACAAUGGGCGCAAGCCUGAUGCAGCGACGCCGCGUGAGGGAUGACGGCCUUCGGGUUGUAAACCUCUUUCAGUAGGGAAAAAGCGAAAGUGACGGUACCCCCAGAAAAUAGCCGGGCACCUACAUGCCAGCAGCCGCGGUAAUACGUAGGGCGCAAAGCGUUAUCCGGAAUUAUUGGGCGUAAAGAGCUCGUAGGCGGUUUGUCCCGUCUGCCGUGAAAGUCCGGGGCUCAACUCCGGAUCUGCGGUGGGUACGGGCAAACUACAGUGAUGUAGGGGAGACCUGAAAUUCCUGGUGCAGCGGUGAAAUGCGCAGAUUAUCAGGAGGAACACCGAUGGCCAAAGGCAGGUCUCUGGGCAUUAACUGACGCUGAGGAGCGAAAGCAUGGGGAGCGAACAGGAUUACAUACCCUGGGUAGUCCAUGCCGUAAACGUUGGGCCCUAGGUGUGGGGGACAUUCCACGUUUUCCGCGCCGUACCUAACGCAUUAAGUGCCCCGCCUGGGGAGCACGGCCGCAAGGCUAAAACUCAAAGGAAUUGACGGGGGCCCGCACAACGCGGCGGAGCAUGCGGAUUAAUUCGAUGCAACGCGAAGAACCUUACCAAGGCUUGACAUGGGCCGGACCGGGCUGGAAACAGUCCUUCCCCUUUGGGGCCGGUUCACAGGUGGUGCAUGGUUGUCGUCAGCUCGUGUCGUGAGAUGUUGGGUUAAGUCCCGCAACGAGCGCAACCCUCGUUCCAUGUUGCCAGCGCGUAAUGGCGGGGACUCAUGGGAGACUGCCGGGGUCAACUCGGAGGAAGGUGGGGACGACGUCAAAUCAUCAUGCCCCUUAUGUCUUGGGCUUCACGCAUGCUACAAUGGCCGGUACAAAGGGUUGCGAUACUGUGAGGUGGAGCUAAUCCCAAAAAGCCGGUCUCAGUUCGGAUUGGGGUCUGCAACUCGACCCCAUGAAGUCGGAGUCGCUAGUAAUCGCAGAUCAGCAACGCUGCGGUGAAUACGUUCCCGGGCCUUGUACACACCCCCCGUCGUAGUCACGAAAGUUGGUAACACC